Molecule: ribosomal RNA, 427 nt
Filed under: uncultured bacterium
Lineage: Bacteria
Description: partial 16S ribosomal RNA
Rfam family: Bacterial small subunit ribosomal RNA
Source: RNAcentral
UGGGGAAUAUUGCACAAUGGGCGCAAGCCUGAUGCAGCCAUGCCGCGUGUAUGAAGAAGGCCUUCGGGUUGCAAAGUACUUUCAGCGGGGAGGAAGGCGAUAAGGUUAAUAACCUUGUCGAUUGACGUUACCCGCAGAAGAAGCACCGGCUAACUCCGUGCCAGCAGCCGCGGUAAUACGGAGGGUGCAAGCGUUAAUCGGAAUUACUGGGCGUAAAGCGCACGCAGGCGGUCUGUCAAGUCGGAUGUGAAAUCCCCGGGCUCAACCUGGGAACUGCAUUCGAAACUGGCAGGCUAGAGUCUUGUAGAGGGGGGUAGAAUUCCAGGUGUAGCGGUGAAAUGCGUAGAGAUCUGGAGGAAUACCGGUGGCGAAGGCGGCCCCCUGGACAAAGACUGACGCUCAGGUGCGAAAGCGUGGGGAGCAAACA